GCCGAAAUAGCUCAGUUGGGAGAGCGUUAGACUGAAGAUCUAAAGGUCCCUGGUUAGGUCCCUGGUUCGAUCCCGGGUUUCGGCA
Oncorhynchus keta (chum salmon) is the source of this 85-nucleotide non-coding RNA. The record is from the annotation of a RefSeq genome assembly. Lineage: Eukaryota; Metazoa; Chordata; Actinopteri; Salmoniformes; Salmonidae.